This 30-nucleotide non-coding RNA is filed under the name Homo sapiens (human). The record is from RNAcentral. Lineage: Eukaryota; Metazoa; Chordata; Mammalia; Primates; Hominidae.
UAGGAUGGAGACCUGGCCAGGGCAGAGGGA